UAUUUCUGUCAAAACAACAAACGGUCAGUGGGAUUUUUCAAAAGUGGAAUACUGAAAAAUUACCUUUAAUGAUUGGCCAAGUUGUUGCUAAUCGACACCAACCCCAAUGUUGUAGUUUUUCUAAAUUCGUCAGUCAUAUUUAGUAAAAAUGAUAAUCAAAAAAGCAAAAUAUUGCAGCUUCACUUAUUUGGAAGAUGAUAAAAACGACACCAAGGAGGGAGAUUAAGAUAAAAAUCCCGCAAGAAAACAACUUUAUCCAAUCUUCUUAAAGAAUUGAAAAUUAAAGUACAUGGGGAUGAAAAGGAGAGUUAAACCACUGUUGUUACAGUAAAUAUCGUGUUUUGUGAUCACGCGAAUCAUCUUUCAUAUGUUGAAUUAUUGUCCGACAUGGUGGCAAAAAUUUCAGACAUCGCCACUGGCAGCAACUGUUACUGAGACUCUUCGGCGGAUAAGAUGACCAGCGGGGCAAAUAUUGGAGGAAGAUUUGGUUUUGAAUAAGUUGCCAAAAAUGUUUUCCAGUUAGGCCAAUGCCUUUAGCUUCUCAAACUAUUUUUUCGAGCUGCAGUAAAUUAGAAAAAGUGCUGCAAUACCCAAUUUUCAGGAAGCUAUGGUCACUUUUGAAACAGUUAAAAAGACAUCCCUUUCGGGAAUCCCAAAGAAAUGACACAGUAACUGGACUGGUUUUAAGAUAGUGGUAAAACUUCGACCAAGUGCGUCUUAAAAACAAGUGACUUGGAAAAAGGAGAAUCCUGAGGGUACAAGGAAGCUAAAUGUUAUAUGUUGCCAGUCUAUGUUCAGCGAUAGACACGGCAUUUACAUAUCCGACCAGGUCACCUUCAAUCCUGAUUUGAGUACGGACAUCACUUGGAACAAGCAACUAAUAAUCGACUUGUCAGAAUCAACCAGCAAACAUUAGAAGAAAUAAGCUGUUGUGAGGACUGCUGAAUUAGAGCUUCUUACUAGCGGCCAUUUUGCGAGUAGGCGGCCAGGAAUCAUGCGAAAAAGAGGCUUCUUGCAGUUUCUCGUGGUUGUCGGACUGCUCUAUUUAGAGACCGUUCAGGAGAUUGGAGCGGACAACAGCCUUGAAGAUACCGAGAAAGAAAAACCGGGUAAAGCAAAAUGCAAGCACAAGGAAGAGUCAGUAAUCUCUGGUUACAGCAUAGCAGUCGAAAGUUGCUUUAAGAUUGACCGUUCCAUAAAAUUGUUGAAGACCAAGUUGGUGUCCUCAGCCAUACAAUGUCAGCAUCAGUGCUAUGCCAGCAAAGAGUGCAUCUAUUUCGCUAUUAGGGAACAGCGAACGCCAAAAGGGGACUAUGAAUGCAAUGUAUAUAAAAAAGGCAAUGCACGCAGAAAUCAUUGCGACGAACUUGAGGGUUGGAGUUUUUACAGAAAGGAUGCCUACAACGAAAAAGGAAAAGAAAAAAACAGCAAGGGGAAGAAGGAGGUUCGAUAAAAUUAACCUUACUCAGUGACUUGAACCACAUUUUUUAACUCCAAGAUUAGAGAAAUGUUUUUAACUUGUUUGUUUAGACAGUAGAGUGUUUAGAAUUUUAGAGUGAUUUAAUUUUUUCGCAAUCAAUUUCUUGUUACUGAAACCACAUUUAAAAUGCACAAUUGAACACGGGCUUGUCCCGGAUUACAAAUUACCCGGCUUUGCUUCGGUCAAAUUGUACCGUAAGUGUUGGUACGGACCACACCACGUUUAUUUCUUGAUUCGAUCUGGAUAGUUACACUACCAAAAUCUAACCCUGGUUAGUUUAAUCCGUGUUGAACCCAGACUAGAAGGGCCGGUACACAAGUAACAUAAAGUCAGCCUGCAUAGAGAGAAUCAUUCAAAUAUCGAUGUGUCAAACGAAACAACCUUUGUUUCGAGGUGUCAAAGUAGGAUAUCCAUCGUACAAAGGAUAUCCAACUCUGAAGUCACUUAAAACUGCAAGCAACCGAUGCCACCUUCAAGGCUUCUAGUCUGACAGUGCGAAGGAUAGACGCUUAUAGGUACUAAGUUUAUUUACACUUUGCGGGGCUGUAAUUGGCUCAACAGCACGAAAGGCCAUGUGACUUGGCGCAAACUCUUAGGAAGACCUUGUUACCAGGUAUUACAAUUAUAUCGAGCUCUAGACAGACGGAGGAAUGAACUAAACUUGGCUGCGUAGUGUCUCAGUUCUAAACGAUCAAUAGACGAAGCAUGGGAUGAUGAAACAAAGGCGAAUAAACACGAAUUCUUAUAAGGCUUUUCGCUCGAUGAAACAUUCCAGGAUCUGCGAUUCAUAAAAAACAACUAACAGAGAUCACUGAGCACCGUAAAAGCUUCUGCAAAGCAAAAAUUGUAAACGCAAUUGUAUAAACCCAUAGAUAAGAACAUAAGUUAUAAAAGCAUGUGGGAAGUUGCGAUAAGGCCAAUUUGAUAAGGACAUUAUUUAUCACGUUAUCCAGGAAGGUUUCCUAUUCAAAUAAAAGAGGUUUUAAUUUCUAUUCAGCAGUGCAAUGUAAUAAAAAGUUAAUUUAUCCAGAAAACAAGGAUUGGAAUCCCAAAACGAUAACAUGCAAGAAAAGUGAAAAGAGAGCUUUGGAAGCAAAAAUUCUAUAACCUAAACCCUGCGAGUAACUUGAAAAUUAUCAUGGAACAAGAAUCUAUAAAGGACUGAAAAUGUAGGUUCAUACAGACAGGUAUCUAUUGUAAUACCGCCCAGUGUAAAAUAUGUACUAAAACGUAAGCGGUGAUCAGAUAACCGAAAUGUGAUGUGUCAGGUAUGCUCCUUAUUGCAAAAAGAAUCUCAACACUGGCUGUCUCUAGCUUGCGCCAAUACAAGCUAUUAUUUUAUGAGUAUUUAAAUGCGAAAUAGAGCAAAAUAUGACAUAGUGCGCUUUCUAUCAGAGCAGAUCUGACAGAGGAUUAUUCUAGGAACGUCUGCCCACAUCUUCGAACUAACUUUCGCAGAGUCUUCUCUAAGUGAGAACUAAGUCUUCUCUUGACACAAAUGUUCACAAAUGUGUUCUAAUUGGGGAAAUGAUGUUCUCUAUACCUUUAUUGGGCUUUUUCACAAGACAAAAACACCCAAAG
Molecule: non-coding RNA, 3061 nt
Organism: Rhopilema esculentum
Lineage: Eukaryota; Metazoa; Cnidaria; Scyphozoa; Rhizostomeae; Rhizostomatidae
Source: RefSeq, a predicted model, not a curated record